GAGUUUGAUCAUGGCUCAGGAUGAACGCCGGCGGUGUGCCUAAUACAUGCAAGUCGUACGCACUGGCCCAACUGAUUGAUGGUGCUUGCACCUGAUCGACGAUGGAUCACCAGUGAGUGGCGGACGGGUGAGUAACACGUAGGUAACCUGCCCUGUACAGGGGGUAACAAUCAGAAAUGACUGCUAAUACCGCAUAAGACCACAGCACCGCAUGGUGCAGGGGUAAAAACUCCGGUGGUACAGGAUGGACCCGCGUCUGAUUAGCUGGUUGGUGAGGUAACGGCUCACCAAGGCGACGAUCAGUAGCCGGCUUGAGAGAGUGAACGGCCACAUUGGGACUGAGACACGGCCCAAACUCCUACGGGAGGCAGCAGUGGGGAAUAUUGCACAAUGGGGAAACCCUGAUGCAGCAACGCCGCGUGAGUGAAGAGUAUUUCGGUAUGUAAAGCUCUAUCAGCAGGGAAGAAAGUGACGGUACCUGACUAAGAAGCCCGGCU
RNAcentral lists this ribosomal RNA (497 nucleotides) under uncultured microorganism. RNAcentral's name for it is "bacterial SSU rRNA". It matches the Rfam family "Bacterial small subunit ribosomal RNA", at positions 9 to 498 of the family's 1533-position model. The record is from RNAcentral.